GAUGUAGAACGUAGCGAAAUGCGAUAAGUAAUGUGAAUUGCAGAAUUCAGUGAAUCAUCGAAUCUUUGAACGCACCUUGCGCCUUUUGGUAUUCCGAAAGGCACACCUGUUUGAGCGUCAUGAAUACCUCAAUCUCCAUCUUUUCUUCGGAUUGAUGGGUGACUUGGAUGUUGAGCCCUGCUGGUAUGCUAUAUCAGCUGGCUUUAAACUUAUUAGCCGGCUCUGUACUGGAUCGGUUUGACUCGACGUGAUAAUAUUAUCGUUGAGGAUGCAUGUCUCAUGCAGCCGGAAAGUAUCAAAGCAGCUUCUAGCUUGCCUUUAGUGCACUUUUACAUUUUAGACCUCAGAUCAGGUGGGACUACCCGCUGAACUUAAGCAUAUCAAUAAGCGGAGGA
RNAcentral lists this unclassified non-coding RNA (395 nucleotides) under soil metagenome. Its description in RNAcentral is "partial contains 5.8S ribosomal RNA, internal transcribed spacer 2, and large subunit ribosomal RNA". The stretch from base 1 to 120 matches the Rfam family "5.8S ribosomal RNA", at positions 35 to 154 of the family's 154-position model. The record is from RNAcentral.